This 374-nucleotide unclassified non-coding RNA is filed under the name uncultured Eubacteriales bacterium. Its description in RNAcentral is "contains 16S-23S intergenic spacer region". The record is from RNAcentral. Lineage: Bacteria; Bacillati; Bacillota; Clostridia; Eubacteriales.
UCCCGGUUAACCCGGGCAGUCUCACUAGAGUGCUCAACUUAAUGGUAGCAACUAAUAAUAAGGGUUGCGCUCGUUGCAGGACUUAACCUAACAUCUCACGACACGAGCUGACGACAACCAUGCACCACCUGUCUUCCUGCCCCGAAGGGCUUCAUGCAUCUCUGCACUAUUCAGGAGAUGUCAAGUCCAGGUAAGGUUCUUCGCGUUGCUUCGAAUUAAACCACAUGCUCCGCUGCUUGUGCGGGCCCCCGUCAAUUCCUUUGAGUUUUAAUCUUGCGAUCGUACUUCCCAGGCGGAGUACUUAUUGUGUUAACUGCGGCACAGAAGGUUGGACCCCCCUACACCUAGUACUCAUCGUUUACGGCGUGGACUAC